GUCAUGUGGGGCACGUCUUACAGACGUGGGCCGCGCGGCCAGGAGCAGCCGACGGCCGCAUCAGGCAAGGCGCAGGCUGGACAGGAGUCCUGAUCCGGGCACAUUAGUUCCUAGACUAGUUUAUUUCGUAUAGGUUUCUAGUUUGUUAUUAGCCCAUGGGGCCUUUAUAUAUCAGACAGUUAGCACCCUUUAGGGAUAAGCAAUAAAGUUAUUUCCUUCUAUCUUCCCCUCCCGCAUCAUAGAGCAGCCAGGCAAAAACCCUAGCGCUCCUAUCCACCGCGACUACGAACUACGUAGUCGAGGUCCUGCUGUCUUGGGCACCGAGGCCCUUGACAACUUGGUAUCAGGUUCCAGGCGAUCCUCCUCCUCGUCCACGCUCCAUCCGCCGGCCGCUUUCCCCCCUGUGUCCGCGCCCAGCUCCCCGACAUCGCCACAAUCCGCUGCCGCCUCGGUCACUUCCGGCAUGGCAGAACCGACCACCGCGGAUCUGGCUAAGAUGAUCGAGGCCUUGACGGCCACGGUGAUGUCCCUGCAGUCGUCCGUCACCGCACUCCAGAAGGACAAGUCCUCCUCUUCAUCCAGCGCUGCCGCCGCCCAUGAUGGGCAGCACCACAAUGAUCGGCCGCCCAGGUUCCAGAAGAUGGACUUCCCCAAGUUCGACGGCAAGUCUGAUCCGCUCGCCUUCAUCAACAGAUGCGAGUCCUUCUUCCAUCAACAACGAAUCGCCGAGGAGGAGAAGGUGUGGAUGGCGUCCUACAAUCUCGAGGGUCCUGCCCAACUAUGGUAUAUGCAGGUCCAGCGCGACGAGGGCACACCUCCGUGGCGCCGCUUCUCCGAGCUGCUCAAUCUCCGCUUCGGGCCACCGCUGCGCGCUAACCCGCUGGGCGAACUAAUGGCGUGCAAACGCACGACGUCCGUCGUCGACUUCCAGGAGCGGUUUGAGGCACUCCUUCCCCGGGCAGGCACCUUAUCCGAGACACAGAAAGUGCAGAUCUUCACCGCGGGACUCCAGCCACCCCUCAGCCUCGACGUGGAGAUCCAUAACCCACAGUCCCUCGCCGUCGCCAUGAGCCUCGCCCGCAAAUUGGAGCUGCGCGACCAGUGCGCGCUUUCCGCCCCGCCGCCGGUGCGUUUUCCACAGAAGGGCAUCCUGCCGACACCAGGACCACGCCUCGCGCCCCCCGCUCCGGCCCCACCAGCCGCACCUCAGCAGGGCCACAAUCUGCCGGACGGACGCCCAAUCAAGCGUCUCUCCCAGACAGAGAUGGAGGAACGCCGUCGCCUGGGCCUUUGCUUCAACUGUAACGAGAAGUUUGGCAGGGGCCACAACCGCGUGUGCCAGCGCAUCUUUCUCCUCGACUUAGCGCCGGACGACGACGACGACGACGCGGCCUCCGCCACUGAUGAUGCAUCGCGGGCCGACCCUCAAAUCUCGCUCCACGCGAUCGCCGGCGUGCGCACGAGUGAAACCAUGCAGAUGCAGAUUACUCUCGGAGGUGUCUCCCUCCUCGCCCUGAUCGAUUCAGGCUCCACCCACAACUUCAUCGCCGAAGAGGCGGCCGCUCGUGCUACGUUACCGCCCCCCACCACAGAGAAGAUGCGCGUCACGGUGGCCAACGGCGAGCGCGUUCCGUGCCAGGGCGCGUACCGCGUCGUGCCCUUCCGCAUCGGCCACGAGGAGUUCGCGGAGGAUUUCCUCGCCUUGCCGCUCGCGGGCUACGACAUCGUCCUGGGCACGCAGUGGCUGGCGUCGCUCGGACCGAUCCUGUGGGAUUUCCGAGCCCUCUCCAUGACAUUCUGGCGACGGGGCCAUCGGGUGUGCUGGCACGGCAUUGCAGGACCGGACGGGCCAGCCCUAAAAUCAUGCAGCGGCCGCGACUUCCUGGACGCCAUCAUCACCGAGUUCGACGGCAUCUUCGCCGACCCCUCCGGCGUGCCACCGCCCCGCAGCCGCGAUCACGGCAUCACCCUGCUACCUGGUUCCGCCCCGGUGGCCGUCCGUCCGUAUCGAUACCCGGCCGCGCACAAGGACGAGCUGGAGCGUCAGUGCGCCGCCAUGCUCGCCCAAGGUAUCAUCCGUGCGAGUUGUUCCGCAUUCUCGUCCCCGGUACUGCUAGUCCGCAAGGCCGACGGGUCCUGGCGCUUCUGCAUCGAUUAUCGCGCCCUGAACGCCAUUACUGUCAAGAAUGCGUUCCCGAUUCCGGUGGUGGACGAACUCCUCGACGAGCUACGGCACGCUCGUUUCUUCACCAAGCUCGAUUUACGUUCCGGCUACCACCAGGUGCGGAUGCGUGCGGAGGACAUCCCGAAGACAGCUUUCCGUACUCAUGACGGCCUCUACGAGUUUCUGGUGAUGCCGUUCGGACUCUGCAACGCGCCGGCCACGUUCCAGGCCCUCAUGAAUGAUCUGCUGCGGCCAUACCUGCGCCGUUUUGUUCUCGUCUUCUUUGACGACAUCCUCAUUUUCAGCGAGACAUGGGCUGACCAUCUCCGACAUGUGCGCACCGUCUUCACGGUCCUGCACCAGCACCGGCUCUUUGUCAAGCGCUCCAAAUGCGCGUUCGCCGUUGAAUCAAUCGCAUACCUGGGUCACACCAUCUCCGCUGCAGGCGUGGCCAUGGAUCCGGAAAAGGUGCAGGCAGUGGCGGACUGGCCGCAACCACGCUCGGCGCGCGCGGUUCGGGGCUUUCUCGGCCUUGCGGGGUACUACCGCAAGUUUGUCAAGGACUUUGGCGUGGUUGCCGCGCCCCUGACGGCCCUCCUUCGCAAGGAUGGUUUCUCUUGGUCGCCGGAGGCGGCAGCAGCUUUUACCACCCUCAAGACGGCAAUCACCACGGCUCCCGUCCUCGCGUUACCGGAUUUUACACGGCCGUUCAUCGUCGAGUGUGACGCAUCGACGUACGGUUUCGGGGCCGUCCUUCUUCAGGACCACCACCCGGUGGCUUUCUUUAGCCGGCCAGCCGCGCCACGUCACCGUUCCCUGGCAGCGUAUGAACGGGAACUCAUCGGCCUGGUGCUCGCGAUUCGCCAUUGGAGGCCGUACCUAUGGGGGCGUCAGUUUGUGGUAAAAACGGAUCAUUACAGCCUCAAAUUUCUGCUUGACCAGCGUUUGGCCACCAUCCCGCAGCAUCAUUGGGUUGGCAAACUCCUGGGAUUCGACUUUACGGUGGAGUACAAGGCAGGUAGUACCAACACGGUGGCGGAUGCACUUUCCCGCCGUGACACGGAGGAGACGCCGCUCAUGGCGGUCUCAGGGCCUCGUUUCGACUUCAUCGAUCGCCUCCGGCAAGCGACAUCCACUGAUCCGGCGCUCGUCGCACUGCGGGAGGAUAUCACGGCAGGUGCGCGGCAACAGCCUUGGGCGCUCUCCGACGGCCUCGUUACUUUCAACGGCCGCCUCUACAUUCCGCCGUCAUCCCCGCUACUCCAGGAGAUUCUCAGUGCCGUGCACGAUGAUGGGCAUGAAGGCGUCCUGCGCACAUUGCAUCGUCUCCGCCGCGAUUUCCACGCACCUAACCUUCGCAAGACGGUGCAGGAGUACAUCCGCACUUGCGGUACUUGCCAGCGGUACAAGUCCGAGCACUUGCACCCCGCUGGGCUGCUACUGCCGCUGCCGGUACCCACGGGCGUGUGGACUGACAUCGGCAUCGACUUCGUGGAAGCGCUUCCUCGAGUAGGCGGGAAGUCUGUCAUCCUCACCGUGGUGGAUCGCUUCAGCAAGUAUUGCCAUUUUGUGGCGUUAGCCCACCCAUACACGGCAGAGUCAGUGGCACAGGUGUUCUUCGCUGAGGUUGUUCGUCUCCAUGGCGUGCCGCAGUCCAUGGUCUCUGACCGCGACCCCGUCUUCACCUCCGCUUUUUGGCGAGAGCUCAUGCGCCUCACGGGGACAAAGCUGCACAUGACGUCAGCAUUUCACCCGCAGUCGGAUGGUCAAACGGAGGCUGCUAACAAGAUCAUUGUGAUGUAUUUACGGUGUCUUACCGGGGAUCGUCCCAAGCAGUGGCUCCGGUGGCUUCCCUGGGCUGAGUACAUAUACAACACCGCCUACCAGACAGCAACCCAAGAGACUCCGUUCAAGCUUGUGUAUGGCCGUGACCCUCCCACUAUUCGCUCUUACGAGCCCGGCGACACACGGGUGGCUGCAGUGGCCAGGAGCAUGGCUGAGCGCGACGAACUUAUCGAGGACGUCCGCUAUCGUCUACAACAGGCACAGGCGGUCUAUAAGUCCUACUACGACAGACGUCAUCGGGACAUUCGGCAUGAGGUGGGCGAUUGGGUUUGGCUUCGCCUUCGACAGCGCGUCGCGUCCUCUCUCAACUUGCCAACCAGGGGCAAGCUCAAGCCACGAUUCUAUGGGCCGUACCGCAUUUCAGAAGUGAUCAACGACGUGGCAUACCGUCUUGAGCUUCCGGCACGCUCGCGCCUCCAUGACGUGUUCCACGUGGGUCUCCUCAAGAAGUUCUUCGGCAUUCCUCCAACUACACCGCCGGGAUUGCCUUCGAUCCACAACGGGGCGGCUGUUCCAGAACCAGAGCGCGUGACUCGUGCGCGCCUAGCACGCGGCGUUCGCCAGCUACUCGUCCACUGGAAGGGUGAAGCAGCUUCGUCAGCUACAUGGGAGGAUCUUGACAGUUUCGUCGAGCGCUACCCCGCUUUUCAGCUCGAGGACGAGCUGCUCGUCGAGGAGGGGAGAGAUGUCAUGUGGGGCACGUCUUACAGACGUGGGCCGCGCGGCCAGGAGCAGCCGACGGCCGCAUCAGGCAAGGCGCAGGCUGGACAGGAGUCCUGAUCCGGGCACAUUAGUUCCUAGACUAGUUUAUUUCGUAUAGGUUUCUAGUUUGUUAUUAGCCCAUGGGGCCUUUAUAUAUCAGACAGUUAGCACCCUUUAGGGAUAAGCAAUAAAGUUAUUUCCUUCUAUCUUCCCCUCCCGCAUCAUAGAGCAGCCAGGCAAAAACCCUAGCGCUCCUAUCCACCGCGACUACGAACUACGUAGUCGAGGUCCUGCUGUCUUGGGCACCGAGGCCCUUG
Molecule: long non-coding RNA, 5028 nt
Filed under: Triticum aestivum (bread wheat)
Lineage: Eukaryota; Viridiplantae; Streptophyta; Magnoliopsida; Poales; Poaceae
Description: long non-coding RNA (TAES_LNC015060)
Source: RNAcentral